AACGAACGCUGGCGGCAGGCCUAACACAUGCAAGUCGAGGGAGAAGCUGACUUCGGUCAGUGGACACCGGCGCACGGGUGCGUAACACGUGGGAACGUACCCUCAGGUACGGGAUAACAUGGGGAAACUCAUGCUAAUACCGUAUAAUAUCUCCGGAUCAAAGCUCCGGCGCCUGAGGAUCGGCCCGCGCCUGAUUAGCUAGUUGGUGAGGUAAGAGCUCACCAAGGCGACGAUCAGUAGCUGGUCUGAGAGGAUGAUCAGCCACACUGGGACUGAGACACGGCCCAGACUCCUACGGGAGGCAGCAGUGAGGAAUAUUGGACAAUGGGCGCAAGCCUGAUCCAGCCAUGCCGCGUGAGUGAAGAAGGCCUUCGGGUUGUAAGCUCUUUCAGAUGUGAAGAUGAUGACGGUAGCAUCAGAAGAAGCCCCGGCGUAACUUCGUGCCAGCAGCCGCGGUAAUACGAAGGGGAC
Molecule: ribosomal RNA, 471 nt
Filed under: uncultured bacterium
Lineage: Bacteria
Description: bacterial SSU rRNA
Rfam family: Bacterial small subunit ribosomal RNA
Source: RNAcentral